AUGCUCGCUUCAGAAGCACGUAUACUAAAAUUGGAACGAUACAGAGAAGAUUAGCAUGGCCCUGGCACAAGAAUAAACACGCAAAUUUGUGAAGCAUUCCAUAUUUAA
This is a small nuclear RNA of Suncus etruscus (white-toothed pygmy shrew), 108 nucleotides long. NCBI's taxonomy places the organism in Eukaryota, Metazoa, Chordata, Mammalia, Eulipotyphla, Soricidae. The record is from RefSeq and is a predicted model, not a curated record.